GACGAACGCUGGCGGCGUGCUUAACACAUGCAAGUCGAACGGAGUUACGUAUGAAGUAUUUCGGUACGGACUAUGUAACUUAGUGGCGAACGGGUGAGUAACACGUGGGCAACCUGCCCUUAACCGGGGGAUAACAUUGUGAAAACAGUGCUAAUACCGCAUAACAGAGUAUCGGGCAUCCGAUAUUUUUAAAAGGAGCAAUCCGGUUUAGGAUGGGCCCGCGUCCAAUUAGCUAGUUGGUGAGGUAACGGCUCACCAAGGCUACGAUUGGUAGCCGAACUGAGAGGUUGAUCGGCCACAUUGGGACUGAGACACGGCCCAGACUCCUACGGGAGGCAGCAGUGGGGAAUAUUGGGCAAUGGGCGAAAGCCUGACCCAGCGACGCCGCGUGAAGGAUGAAGGUCUUCGGAUUGUAAACUUCUUUGAUCAGGGAAGAAAGAAAUGACGGUACCUGAAGAACAAAGCCACGGCUAACUACGUGCCAGGCAGCCGCGGUAAAUAGUCACGUCG
This 510-nucleotide ribosomal RNA is filed under the name uncultured bacterium. RNAcentral's name for it is "bacterial SSU rRNA". It matches the Rfam family "Bacterial small subunit ribosomal RNA", at positions 28 to 534 of the family's 1533-position model. The record is from RNAcentral.